Molecule: long non-coding RNA, 1010 nt
Organism: Solanum dulcamara
Lineage: Eukaryota; Viridiplantae; Streptophyta; Magnoliopsida; Solanales; Solanaceae
Exons: 2
Source: RefSeq, a predicted model, not a curated record
CCCUGUUAAAAUUCAACUUCUUUCCCCUUUAUAAAUAUAAAUAAAAACAAGCAAUUUCACAUUUUGUUGCUCAAUUAUUCUUUCUAUAUCUCAAGAUAUUAAAUAAUAGGGUUAGCUGAUUUUGAAGAAUUUCGAGUUUGCGUUUCCCCUUCUCCCUAAAUUUUACCAGGUUGAUAUUUUAACAGAUACUAACUGUUAAAGUGUGCGUACUGGGAACGAUUUGUGCUUAGAGAAGCUAAUGAUAGCCAUAUAGUAUGGAAUCACACCAGCUGUAUGGAUAUGGUGUGACUGAUGCGAAUUUGUCAUAUUCUUACUCUAAGACUACUACUCCUUCGAUACCUAAUAGGCUGUUGGGAACAUUGAAAUUUGAUUCGGGAAAUUCUCCAAAUUCUCCAUUUGUAAACUAUUUUGAUCCUGGUACCCCUACCACUUUAAGUGAUAGCCUGGAGCAGCACAGCUCUACUGAAAAUAUUUCAGGGACUAGUCCUUCCAAUAAUUCCUUGCGGGAUUUUAAUCAUUAUUUCUGUAGGCCUAGCCCCUCUUCAGAUAAGCAUAUGCUGACCCUUCUCUGCGCAGUAUCCAACUAAAUUCACCAGGUUUCUAUGGUGUAGCCUUCCCAGUAACAUGACCUGUGGAAACAAAAGAAGCAGGAAGUCAAUUUAGUUUUAAAAAAAAACAUUUACAUCAUACAAUGUAGUUCAGCUAUUACAGCAUACAUACGGUUUAGCACAAAAUACGAAUAAAAGGAUGAGGCUCAGAGGAUAUCUUGAUGAAAAGUUUUGUUAGCUUACUAAUGCUAGGAUUUGCCUCAACUUUUUUUAGUGUGCUGUGAAAUUUGGAGAAAGCAUUGUUCAUGUUUGGAGGGUACAUCAAUUUUCCUGUCCCCUCUUGCUUAUGAUCAGUUGCAAGCACAGAAGCACUUCACCAGCUACUGAAUCAAAAUAUGAGGGAAGUGGAAGUAAAUAUACCCUUCUCUUUUUAUCUGAAAACCAGAUGUUUAUUAAAGAUCA